UACGUAGGGUGCAGGCGUUAAUCGGAAUUACUGGGCGUAAAGCGUGCGCAGGCGGUUUGCUAAGACAGAUGUGAAAUCCCCGGGCUUAACCUGGGAAUUGCAUUUGUGACUGCACGGCUGGAGUGUGUCAGAGGGGGGUAGAAUUCCACGUGUAGCAGUGAAAUGCGUAGAGAUGUGGAGGAAUACCGAUGGCGAAGGCAGCCCCCUGGGCCAAUACUGACGCUCACGCACGAAAGCGUGGGGAGCAAACAGG
This 253-nucleotide ribosomal RNA is filed under the name uncultured bacterium. RNAcentral describes it as "partial 16S ribosomal RNA". It matches the Rfam family "Bacterial small subunit ribosomal RNA", at positions 524 to 776 of the family's 1533-position model. The record is from RNAcentral.